RNAcentral lists this unclassified non-coding RNA (235 nucleotides) under Melitaea cinxia (Glanville fritillary). Its description in RNAcentral is "misc RNA ENSMCXG00005012741.1". Lineage: Eukaryota; Metazoa; Arthropoda; Insecta; Lepidoptera; Nymphalidae. The record is from RNAcentral.
AAAGUAACACGUAACAUUCUGUAAUGUUGUAUUGUUCCAGAUUCAUCGCGCCACAAGAUACGCUGGAACUCAUCUGCAUCCUCCAGGUUUACCUUCACCUGUCGAUACAUCUUAACGAGUCAGGAUGGGCAAAACGUAUUCAAAGAUUAAGAGCAGAUCAGAUGUUCAACAUGCUGAAUGUAGAUGUUACUGGUACAAAACGUAAAGCUCCCGACAGUGAUGACGAAAAGGAAAA